RNAcentral lists this ribosomal RNA (441 nucleotides) under uncultured bacterium. Its description in RNAcentral is "partial 16S ribosomal RNA". It matches the Rfam family "Bacterial small subunit ribosomal RNA", at positions 338 to 795 of the family's 1533-position model. The record is from RNAcentral.
CCUACGGGUGGCAGCAGUGGGGGAUAUUACACAAUGGGGGGAACCCUGAUGCAGCGACGCCGCGUGGGUGAAGGAGUGCUUCGGCAUGUAAAGCUCUAUCGGCAGGGAAGAAGCAAGACGGUACCUGACUAAGAAGCCCCGGCUAACUACGUGCCAGCAGCCGCGGUAAUACGUAGGGGGCGAGCGUUAUCCGGAUUCACUGGGUGUAAAGGGAGCGUAGACGGCCAUGCAAGCCAGGGGUGAAAGCCCGGGGCCCAACCCCGGGACUGCCCUUGGAACUGGGCGGCUAGAGUGCGGGAGGGGCAGGCGGAAUUCCUGGUGUAGCGGUGAAAUGCGUAGAUAUCAGGAGGAACACCGGCGGCGAAGGCGGCCUGCUGGACCGCGACUGACGUUGAGGCUCGAAAGCGUGGGGAGCGAACAGGAUUAGAUACCCCUGUAGUC